GCCAGCAUGGCAUAGUGGUUUGAGUGCUGAACCAUGACUCUGGAGAUCAGGGUUCGAUUCCCAGCCCAGCCA
Phrynosoma platyrhinos (Desert horned lizard) is the source of this 72-nucleotide non-coding RNA. Lineage: Eukaryota; Metazoa; Chordata; Lepidosauria; Squamata; Phrynosomatidae. The record is from the annotation of a GenBank genome assembly.